Molecule: ribosomal RNA, 831 nt
Filed under: uncultured Actinomyces sp.
Lineage: Bacteria; Bacillati; Actinomycetota; Actinomycetes; Actinomycetales; Actinomycetaceae
Description: bacterial SSU rRNA
Rfam family: Bacterial small subunit ribosomal RNA
Source: RNAcentral
GAUGAACGCUGGCUACAGGCUUAACACAUGCAAGUCGUGGGGAAACGGCAUUAUGUGCUUGCACAUUCUGGACGUCGACCGGCGCACGGGUGAGUAUCGCGUAUCCAACCUGCCCCUUACUUGGGGAUACCCCGUUGAAAGACGGCCUAAUACCCGAUGUGUUUCAUUGACGGCAUCCGAUAUGAAACAAAGGUUUUCCGGUAAGGGAUGGGGAUGCGUCUGAUUAGCUUGUUGGCGGGGCAACGGCCCACCAAGGCGACGAUCAGUAGGGGUUCUGAGAGGAAGGUCCCCCACAUUGGAACUGAGACACGGUCCAAACUCCUACGGGAGGCAGCAGUGAGGAAUAUUGGUCAAUGGACGCAAGUCUGAACCAGCCAAGUAGCGUGCAGGAUGACGGCCCUAUGGGUUGUAAACUGCUUUUAUGUGGGAAUAAAGUGGCGCACGUGUGCGCCAUUGCAUGUACCUCAUGAAUAAGGACCGGCUAAUUCCGUGCCAGCAGCCGCGGUAAUACGGAAGGUCCGGGCGUUAUCCGGAUUUAUUGGGGUUUAAAGGGAGUGUAGGCGGUCUGUUAAGCGUGUUGUGAAAUUUAGGUGCUCAACAUUUAACUUGCAGCGCGAACUGUCAGACUUGAGUACACGCAGCGCAGGCGGAAUUCAUGGUGUAGCGGGUGAAAUGCUUAGAUAUCAUGAGGAACUCCGAUCGCGAAGGCAGCCUGCGGGAGUGUUACUGACGCUUAAGCUCGAGGUGCGGGUAUCUAACAGGAUUAUAUACCCUGGUAGUCCAAGGGCGAAUUCUACAGUGGAUAUCAGGCUAUCCAUAUCGGUCGACCUC